This 253-nucleotide ribosomal RNA is filed under the name uncultured bacterium. Its description in RNAcentral is "partial 16S ribosomal RNA". It matches the Rfam family "Bacterial small subunit ribosomal RNA", at positions 524 to 776 of the family's 1533-position model. The record is from RNAcentral.
UACGUAGGGUGCAGGCGUUAAUCGGAAUUACUGGGCGUAAAGCGUGCGCAGGCGGUUUCUUAAGUCAGAUGUGAAAGCCCCGGGCUUAACCUGGGAACUGCGUUUGAAACUGGGAGACUUGAGUGUGGCAGAGGGGGGUGGAAUUCCACGUGUAGCAGUGAAAUGCGUAGAUAUGUGGAGGAACACCGAUGGCGAAGGCAGCCCCCUGGGAUAACACUGACGCUCAGGCACGAAAGCGUGGGGAGCAAACAGG